AGAUUGAACGCUGGCGGCAUGCCUAACACAUGCAAGUCGAACGGGAGUAGCAAUACUCUAGUGGCGGACGGGUGAGGAAUACGUAGGAAUUUGCCCUUAAGUGGGGGAUAACCCGGGGAAACCCGGAUUAAUACCGCAUGACCUCGAAAGAGCAAAGUGGGGGAUCGCAAGACCUCACGCUUUUGGAGAAGCCUACGUCGGAUUAGCUAGUUGGUGAGGUAAUGGCUCACCAAGGCAC
This 238-nucleotide ribosomal RNA is filed under the name uncultured soil bacterium. RNAcentral describes it as "partial 16S ribosomal RNA". It matches the Rfam family "Bacterial small subunit ribosomal RNA", at positions 26 to 276 of the family's 1533-position model. The record is from RNAcentral.